Molecule: long non-coding RNA, 1275 nt
Filed under: Rattus norvegicus (Norway rat)
Lineage: Eukaryota; Metazoa; Chordata; Mammalia; Rodentia; Muridae
Description: long non-coding RNA NONRATT015732
Source: RNAcentral
UCGCAAGAGAAGCAACAUCGACAGCAAUGAGCACCACCACCACGGCAUCACAACCAUCCGCGUGACCCCAGUGGAGGGCAGCGAGAUAGGCUCAGAGACGCUGUCUGUAUCCUCCUCACGCGACUCCACCCUGCGCAGGAAGGGCAACAUUAUCUUGAUCCCUGAAAGAAGCAACAGCCCUGAAAACACAAGAAACAUCUUCUACAAAGGAACCUCCCCCACGAGGGCUUAUAAGGAUUGAGUGACCGCCCUUCUUGUCAUCAUUUUGGUGACAUCCCCACCCCCACCCCAAGACCACACAUUUAUUAUAGUACCUUGUGCUCUUUUGGGUAUUUUGUUGUUGUUUUGGUUUUGGUUUUUUGUUUUCUUUUCUAGUGGAUAUGGAGAGCCUUCUUGCCCAACUAGAUUGUUCACCAUCAGCCUGGAACUCUCACUGACCCACCACAGAAACCGUGGUGAUUUUCCACCAAGGGAAAGGAAAAGCACAAAGCAAGACCCGAACUAAUCUCAUCAUCUGAAUAGUUCUUAAGGCCUGUCACUGAGACUUCGCAGAGGGCAGUAUUAGGAUAAAGUGGUCUCCUCCGAUGUAUAGUAUUUAACUUUCUGAAUGUGCCAACUUUGAAGUUUCUUUUUUUUUUUUUUCAUUAUAAUUAGCGGUGGGAACCCAAAACACUACAGGUUUCCCCGGCAGCAGAGGCCACGCAGUAUUAUAUAGUAUUUAUUUUUGCAGACUCUGCACCAGAAGAGCAGACUGGGCGGUGCUGAUUACCACAGUACAUCUACCAUUUCAACUCUCAGACUCUGUGUAGCUGUGAGAGAGUGGUGUACAACCCCCUUGUCAGAGAAAUGCUACUUCAUUCAGAAGACGCCAGUGACUUUGUGGUAGCAUAGGCCAUUCUUGGCUUCCCUGUAGUGGCUCUCUCACAGUCAAAAAGAAAAAAGAAAGAAAAAACUGGACAGGGUUCUGAGCAUUUCUUUGAAAGAUUCUUUGUUUUCAACAUUUGAAAGUCUGUAGGGAUGUUUUCGGUGAGACGGAACAACUAGUUCUCCGCAUCGUUUUUCUGCUUUUUAUUUAAGUAUUGGUAAUGCUGGUUUCUGGUAUCUUUUUUUUUUAGUGAGUGCAUUUGCAUAUUUAAAAUACAUUGUUUUAGAGAAUAUUUUGAAAUUAUUAUAAUCACAUUUUCCAUUUUGUGGCUUCAUCUUAGUUUAUUAAGUUUUUUGAGGUUAUGCACACCAUUCUUCUAUUUUAAGAAAGCAACAGUGACCAUUUACAUU